AUGAACGCUGGCGGCGUGCCUAAUACAUGCAAGUCGCGCGAACGGACGAGAAGCUUGCUUUUCUGAUGUUAGCGGCGGACGGGUGAGUAACACGUGGAUAACCUACCUAUAAGACUGGGAUAACUUCGGGAAACCGGAGCUAAUACCGGAUAAUAUUUUGAACCGCAUGGUUCAAAAGUGAAAGACGGUCUUGCUGUCACUUAUAGAUGGAUCCGCGCUGCAUUAGCUAGUUGGUAAGGUAACGGCUUACCAAGGCAACGAUGCAUGGCCGACCUGAGAGGGGGAUCGGCCACACUGGAACUGAGACACGGUCCAGACUCCUACGGGAGGCAGCAGUAGGGAAUCUUCCGCAAUGGGCGAAAGCCUGACGUAGCAACGCCGCGUGAGUGAUGAAGGUCUUCGGAUCGUAAAACUCUGUUAUUAGGGAAGAACAUAUGUGUAAGUAACUGUGCACAUUUUGACGGUACCUAAUCAGAAAGCCACGGCUAACUACGUG
RNAcentral lists this ribosomal RNA (496 nucleotides) under uncultured bacterium. RNAcentral describes it as "partial 16S ribosomal RNA". It matches the Rfam family "Bacterial small subunit ribosomal RNA", at positions 29 to 507 of the family's 1533-position model. The record is from RNAcentral.